GACGAACGCUGGCGGCGUGCUUAACACAUGCAAGUCGAACGAAGUGGCGAACGGGUGAGUAACGCGUAAUCAACCUGCCCUUCAGAGGGGGACCACAGUUGGAACCGACUGCUAAUACCGCAUACUGAAGGAGGGGCUUGCGUCUGAUUAGCUAGUGGGAGGGGUAACGGCCCAACAAGGCGAUGAUCAGUAGCCGGUCGGAGAGGAGGAACGGCCACAUUGGGACUGAGACACGGCCCAGACUCCUACGGGAGGCAGCAGGGGGGAAGCUUCCGCAAUGGACGAAAGUCUGACGGAGCAACGCCGCGUGAGUGAUGACGGCCUUCGGGUUGUAAAGCUCUGUUAAUCGGGACGCGGUACCGGAAUAGAAAGCCACGGCUAACUACGUGCCAGCAGCCGCGGUAAUAC
Molecule: ribosomal RNA, 408 nt
Filed under: uncultured bacterium
Lineage: Bacteria
Description: partial 16S ribosomal RNA
Rfam family: Bacterial small subunit ribosomal RNA
Source: RNAcentral